AAUUAACGAAGAGGUAAUAACAAUUAAUACCUUUAGAUGAUAAUGGCUAAGCAAAUUUAAAGUCAAAUAGGAUUGGAAAAACAAAAUUUGAAGAAACAAUUGUUUCAGGAAAAUAACUUUGUAAAUGAAAUAAAACAAAACAAUCAAUAUAUUUUUUUAAUGAAAACAAAGAGUUGUAGAAUAUUUAUAUAUGGAACGAAA
Molecule: long non-coding RNA, 201 nt
Filed under: Capsella rubella
Lineage: Eukaryota; Viridiplantae; Streptophyta; Magnoliopsida; Brassicales; Brassicaceae
Description: long non-coding RNA (CRUB_LNC004730)
Source: RNAcentral